Molecule: ribosomal RNA, 446 nt
Filed under: uncultured bacterium
Lineage: Bacteria
Description: bacterial SSU rRNA
Rfam family: Bacterial small subunit ribosomal RNA
Source: RNAcentral
GCCAGACUCCUACGGGAGGCAGCAGUGGGGGAUAUUGCACAAUGGGGGGAACCCUGAUGCAGCGACGCCGCGUGGGUGAAGAAGCGCCUCGGCGCGUAAAGCCCUGUCAGCAGGGAAGAAAAUGACGGUACCUGAAGAAGAAGCCCCGGCUAACUACGUGCCAGCAGCCGCGGUAAUACGUAGGGGGCAAGCGUUAUCCGGAUUUACUGGGUGUAAAGGGAGCGUAGACGGCAAGGCAAGUCUGGAGUGAAAGCCCGUGGCCCAACCACGGGACUGCUUUGGAAACUGUGUGGCUGGAGUGCAGGAGGGGUAAGCGGAAUUCCUAGUGUAGCGGUGAAAUGCGUAGAUAUUAGGAGGAACACCGGUGGCGAAGGCGGCUUACUGGACUGUAACUGACGUUGAGGCUCGAAGGCGUGGGGAGCAAACAGGAUUAGAUACCCUCGUAC